RNAcentral lists this ribosomal RNA (319 nucleotides) under uncultured eukaryote. RNAcentral describes it as "partial 18S ribosomal RNA". It matches the Rfam family "Eukaryotic small subunit ribosomal RNA", at positions 1470 to 1796 of the family's 1831-position model. The record is from RNAcentral.
CCCUUAGAUGUUCUGGGCAGCACGCGCGCUACAAUGGUCUUCGCAAACGGAUGCAUUCUCGAAGGAGAAUGCCAAUCUUGGAAUCUAUGCCUUGGUCGGGACAGUUGCUUGCAAUUUUUCGACUCGAACCAGGAAUUCCUUGUAAUCGUGAUUCAUCACAUCACGAUGAAUACGUCCCUGCCCUUUGUACACACCGCCCGUCGCUCCUACCGAUCGAAGAGUUAGGUGAAUUGUUUUGAUCGAUAAGAUUUGACUAUGGUCAACUCUCGUUGGGAAAUUCUGUGAAUCUGACUGUUUAGAGGAAGGAAAAGUCGUGACA